Molecule: ribosomal RNA, 494 nt
Filed under: uncultured bacterium
Lineage: Bacteria
Description: partial 16S ribosomal RNA
Rfam family: Bacterial small subunit ribosomal RNA
Source: RNAcentral
GACGAACGCUGGCGGCGUGCUUAACACAUGCAAGUCGAACGGAAAGGCCUGCUUUCCCUUGUGGAUUGCGGGUACUCGAGUGGCGAACGGGUGAGUAACACGUGAGUGAUCUGCCCCCAACUUGGGUGUAAGCCUGGGAAACUGGGUCUAAUUCCCGAUAGGACUGCAGGGUGGUGCCUGUGGUGGAAAACGAUUUUCUAGUGGUUGGGGAUGAGCUCGCGGCCUAUCAGCUUGUUGGUGGGGUAAUGGCCUACCAAGGCGGCGACGGGUAGCCGGCCUGAGAGGGUGGACGGCCACAUUGGGACUGAGAUACGGCCCAGACGCCUACGGGAGGCAGCAGUGGGGAAUAUUGCACAAUGGGCGGAAGCCUGAUGCAGCGACGCCGCGUGGGGGAUGACGGCCUUCGGGUUGUAAACUCCUUUCGACCGCGAGGAAGCCACCUGGUUGGAAGGGUGGUGACGGUAGUGGUAGAAGAAGCACCGGCUAACUACGUG